This 497-nucleotide ribosomal RNA is filed under the name uncultured bacterium. Its description in RNAcentral is "partial 16S ribosomal RNA". It matches the Rfam family "Bacterial small subunit ribosomal RNA", at positions 28 to 507 of the family's 1533-position model. The record is from RNAcentral.
GAUGAACGCUGGCGGCGUGCCUAAUACAUGCAAGUCGAGCGAACAGAUAAGGAGCUUGCUCCUUUGACGUUAGCGGCGGACGGGUGAGUAACACGUGGGUAACCUACCUAUAAGACUGGGAUAACUUCGGGAAGCCGGAGCUAAUACCGGAUAACAUUUGGAACCGCAUGGUUCUAAAGUGAAAGAUGGUUUUGCUAUCACUUAUAGAUGGACCCGCGCCGUAUUAGCUAGUUGGUAAGGUAACGGCUUACCAAGGCGACGAUACGUAGCCGACCUGAGAGGGUGAUCGGCCACACUGGAACUGAGACACGGUCCAGACUCCUACGGGAGGCAGCAGUAGGGAAUCUUCCGCAAUGGGCGAAAGCCUGACGGAGCAACGCCGCGUGAGUGAUGAAGGGUUUCGGCUCGUAAAACUCUGUUAUUAGGGAAGAACAAACGUGUAAGUAACUGUGCACGUCUUGACGGUACCUAAUCAGAAAGCCACGGCUAACUACGUG